AGAGUUUGAUCCUGGCUCAGGAUGAACGCUGGCGGCGUGCCUAACACAUGCAAGUCGAGCGAGAUGUAUAUGGACGAAACUUCGGUCUAGGAAAUAUAUUGACAGCGGCGGACGGGUGAGUAACGCGUAGGCAACCUGCCCUUAACACAGGGAUAGCCUCGGGAAACCGGGAUUAAAACCUGAUAAUGCCAAAUAGUCACAUGGCUGUUUGGCCAAAGAUUUAUCGGUUAAGGAUGGGCCUGCGUCUGAUUAGUUUGUUGGUGGGGUAACGGCCUACCAAGACUACGAUCAGUAGCCGACCUGAGAGGGUGAUCGGCCACAUUGGAACUGAGACACGGUCCAAACUCCUACGGGAGGCAGCAGUGGGGAAUUUUGCGCAAUGGGGGAAACCCUGACGCAGCAACGCCGCGUGAGUGAUGAAGGCCCUUGGGUCGUAAAGCUCUGUCAGAAGGGAAGAAAUGUAGGUGGCUAAUAUCCAUUCUACUUGACGGUACCUUCAAAGGAAGCACCGGCUAACUCCGUGCCAGCAGCCGCGGUAAUACGGAGGGUGCGAGCGUUGUUCGGAAUUAUUGGGCGUAAAGCGCGUGUAGGCGGUUUAUUAAGUCUGAUGUGAAAGCCCUGGGCUCAACCUGGGAAGUGCAUUGGAUACUGGUAGACUUGAGUACGGGAGAGGGCAGUGGAAUUCCUAGUGUAGGAGUGAAAUCCGUAGAUAUUAGGAGGAACACCGGUGGCGAAGGCGGCUGCCUGGACCGAUAUUGACGCUGAGACGCGAAAGCGUGGGUAGCAAACAGGAUUAGAUACCCUGGUAGUCC
This 812-nucleotide ribosomal RNA is filed under the name uncultured bacterium. RNAcentral describes it as "bacterial SSU rRNA". It matches the Rfam family "Bacterial small subunit ribosomal RNA", at positions 8 to 796 of the family's 1533-position model. The record is from RNAcentral.